ACGGGUGAGUAACCCCUAGGAAUCUACCUUGGAGUGGGGGAUAACUUGGGGAAACCCAAGCUAAUACCGCAUGAGCCCUAAGGGGGAAAGCAGGGGACCGUAAGGCCCUGUGCUAUGAGAUGAGCCUGCGUCGGAUUAACUAGUUGGUGGGGUAAAGGCCUACCAAGGCGAGGAUCCGUAGCUGGUCUGAGAGGACGACCAGCCACACUGGGACCGAGACACGGCCCAGACUCCUACGGGAGGCAGCAGUGGGGAAUAUUGGACAAUGGGCGCAAGCCUGAUCCAGCAAUGCCGCGUGUGUGAAGAAGGCCUGCGGGUUGUAAAGCACUUUCAGUGGGGAGGAAGGUCUCAAUGCUAAUAGUAUUGUGAAUUGACGUUACCUACAGAAGAAGCACCGGCUAACUCUGUGCCAGCAGCCGCGGUAAUACAGAGGGUGCGAGCGUUAAUCGGAAUUACUGGGCGUAAAGGGCGCGUAGGUGGUCACUUAAGUCAGAUGUGAAAUCCCUGGGCUUAACCUAGGAAUUGCAUUUUGAAACUGAGUGGCUAGAGUAUGGGAGAGGGGAAGUGGAAUUUCCGGG
Molecule: ribosomal RNA, 578 nt
Filed under: uncultured bacterium
Lineage: Bacteria
Description: bacterial SSU rRNA
Rfam family: Bacterial small subunit ribosomal RNA
Source: RNAcentral